AACGGAAGGCGGUGAGAAUCCGCCGUGGACGCGCCACUGUUACCGGCGACGAACGCACCUCGAGGCCACUGGGAAACCGGGAAGGCGGUGCGGGAGGACGACCCGGAAGCCAGGAGACGU
This 120-nucleotide non-coding RNA is filed under the name Spirochaetota bacterium. Lineage: Bacteria; Pseudomonadati; Spirochaetota. The record is from RNAcentral.